GCACGGGUGAGUAACACGUGAAUAAUCUACCUCCGAGUGGGGAAUAACUGAGAGAAAUCUUAGCUAAUACCGCAUAACACUUACGAGUCAAAGCAGCAAUGCGCUUGGAGAGGAGUUCGCGGCCGAUUAGUUAGUUGGCGGGGUAAUGGCCCACCAAGACGAUGAUCGGUAUCCGGCCUGAGAGGGCGCACGGACACACUGGAACUGAAACACGGUCCAGACUCCUACGGGAGGCAGCAGUGGGGAAUUUUGCGCAAUGGGGGAAACCCUGACGCAGCAACGCCGCGUGGAGGAUGAAGUAUCUCGGUACGUAAACUCCUUUCGAUCGGGACGAUAAUGACGGUACCGGAAGAAGAAGCCCCGGCUAACUUCGUGCCAGCAGCCGCGGUAAUACGAGGGGGGCGAGCGUUGUUCGGAAUUAUUGGGCGUAAAGGGUGCGUAGGCGGUUUUGUAAGUCUUAUGUGAAAUCUAUGGGCUCAACUCAUAGACUGCAUGGGAAACUGCAGGGCUUGAGUGUGGGAGAGGUGAGUGGAAUUUCCGGUGUAGCGGUGAAAUGCGUAGAGAUGUGGAGGAAUACCGAUG
RNAcentral lists this ribosomal RNA (582 nucleotides) under uncultured bacterium. RNAcentral's name for it is "bacterial SSU rRNA". It matches the Rfam family "Bacterial small subunit ribosomal RNA", at positions 100 to 714 of the family's 1533-position model. The record is from RNAcentral.